GGGGGGGGGGGGGGGGGGGGGGGGGGGGUGGGGGGCGGGGGGGGGGGGGCGGGGUGGGGGGGGUGCUCGAGUGGCGGACGGGUGAGUAACGCGUGAGGAACCUGCCCUUGACUUUGGGCUAACUUCAGGAAACUGGGGCUGAUACCGGGUAGGGUCUCCUGCUGCAUGGUGGGGGUUGGAAAGUUUCGGCGGUUGGGGAUGGACUCGCGGCUUCUCAGCUUGUUGGUGGGGUAGGGGCUUACCAAGGCUUUGACGGGCAGCCGGCCUGAGAGGGUGACCGGCCACAUUGGGACUGAGAUACGGCCCAGACUCCUACGGGAGGCAGCAGUGGGGAAUAUUGCACAAUGGGCGGAAGCCUGAUGCAGCAACGCCGCGUGCGGGAUGACGGCCUUCGGGUUGUAAACCGCUUUCGCCUGUGACGAAGCGUGAGUGACGGUAAUGGGUAAAGAAGCACCGGCUAACUACGUG
Molecule: ribosomal RNA, 468 nt
Filed under: uncultured bacterium
Lineage: Bacteria
Description: partial 16S ribosomal RNA
Rfam family: Bacterial small subunit ribosomal RNA (bases 49-468)
Source: RNAcentral